GAGGGUAUAGCUCAAAUGGUAGAGCACAUGCUUAGCAUGCAUAAGGUCCUAGGUUCAAUCCCCAGUACCUCCU
This is a transfer RNA of Camelus ferus (Wild Bactrian camel), 73 nucleotides long. It matches the Rfam family "tRNA". Rfam says of the family: Transfer RNA (tRNA) molecules are approximately 80 nucleotides in length. Their secondary structure includes four short double-helical elements and three loops (D, anti-codon, and T loops). Further hydrogen bonds mediate the characteristic L-shaped molecular structure. tRNAs have two regions of fundamental functional importance: the anti-codon, which is responsible for specific mRNA codon recognition, and the 3' end, to which the tRNAs corresponding amino acid is attached (by aminoacyl-tRNA synthetases). tRNAs cope with the degeneracy of the genetic code in two manners: having more than one tRNA (with a specific anti-codon) for a particular amino acid; and 'wobble' base-pairing, i.e. permitting non-standard base-pairing at the 3rd anti-codon position. Lineage: Eukaryota; Metazoa; Chordata; Mammalia; Artiodactyla; Camelidae. The record is from Rfam.